Molecule: long non-coding RNA, 646 nt
Filed under: Rattus norvegicus (Norway rat)
Lineage: Eukaryota; Metazoa; Chordata; Mammalia; Rodentia; Muridae
Description: long non-coding RNA NONRATT002952
Source: RNAcentral
UAGCUCAGCCUCUGUUUACUGAAGUGAAACCAAGACCCAGUAAAAGUGAGGGGCUUGCAAGAGUCCUGAGCUUUGGACAGAGAAAUAAAGGAGCGGACACAGAAUGCACAGGAAAGCAAGGUACAUAAAACCAACUGCUCACUUGCCUAAAAUCUCAAUACUCUCCCCAGAAAGCCCAUGACCUAUAAAGAGGAAGAAUACUCCCAUUGUCGCCUAGUGACUGAGCACAUACACAUGCCAGACACGGCCAUGCUGUGUGGGGAAUUAGAGUUGGAUAAAAGAAGUUCCUUGGCCACCUAGAGAAGCCCAGCACUCAGUGAAAGAACCAGACAUGGACAUGAAUAACUAUAAUACAUGGCAGAAAAUACAACCAUCACGAGAAAAAUGCAAACCAAGAGCUUUUGGAGACAGAGGAGGGAAGAAGCGACUUAUUCCCCAAAGGGAGGCUGGAGAAAGGAGCUGAACUGUGGCAGGAGGCAGGGGAUUAGCCCUGUUGGUGGUGCUCACCUAACCUCGGAACCCUGCUUUCUACCCACAGUCCCACAUAAACUGCCGUGGUGGUGUGGACCCACAGUCUGACUACUCUGGAUGGAAGCAGGAAAACUGGAAGCUGAAGGCCAACCUGAGUUCCACAAAACCCUGCAUU